This 2447-nucleotide long non-coding RNA is filed under the name Homo sapiens (human). RNAcentral describes it as "HSALNT0278388". The record is from RNAcentral. Lineage: Eukaryota; Metazoa; Chordata; Mammalia; Primates; Hominidae.
CCUGAGAUUUCCUCUCCGUGACCCUUCUUCCCCCUCUAGGGGUCCUGGGCUGCCCUGAGGCCACCGCCUAGCAAGAUCAAGAUAGGGCUUGAGCGGCAGUGGGAUAGGGCAGUGGGGGUUCCGGGGGGGUCCGGUGCAGGCAGAACCAAGAGUGUGCCGGCGGAGGGCUGUCGGUACAGGGUGCAGGGCGUGGCGGCUGCAGGACCUCAGCUUGCCUCUUUAAAUCCCUUCCUGGGCACCGCGGUGGCCCGGCCCUUUCCCCUCGUGCUGUUUCUGCUGGAAACGCCGCACAGUCUCCUCGGGGGCAGCCGCCAGCGGAAACGGUUAUUGGCCGCCAGGCAAGCCAGUCCCAUCCUUCCCAGCAACUGGGACUUUCCGGGCAGGGCUCCCCAGCGCGGGUUCAGCUAAUUAAGGAAGCAAUUAGCCUCCCCUGAGGCUAUUCAUGCUUCCUCACCCACAGUUCUCAGGUUCUGUGAGACCAGAGCCUCAGUCUCCCGUGAGCAGAGGGUGUGUGUGUGGCUGCCACUAUUCUGCAGACACGCUGGCUCCACCCCAGAGAGUUGCAGGGCCAGGAAAUCUGCAUUUAAACAGACCCUGGCUCUCACACUUCGGAAACUGCCCGAAGCACCUCUCAAAUAUGGGACAGGUGCUUAGGCCGAAAAUCAGGAAUCUCUUGAAUGAAUGCAUGAAGGUGGAGCCCUUUCCCUUAAUGCGCAGGUGAAAAGGGCACCUCGGUGGAUUCUACUAAAUUUAAUAGAAGACCCAAGACGGGGUGGGGGAGACGUGCUUUGUGCUCACCUGGCUGGUUCAUGGGCAGGUGGCCUGGAGGACCCAGCCCUGGCAGCUGUGGGGUAGCUCCAGCCUGGGCCGGACAGCUUCUUUCAUCGCAGGCACCACUGCGGACAUUGCUGGGAGGAAGAGGAGGGAGAAGCGACGGGCUUCAUUAGGAACGGCUUUCGAUGGAUUGGACGAGGCGCGUCCACCCUGGGGAGGGCCAUCAUUUUAUUCAGUCUACUGAUGCAAAUGCUUAUCUCUUCUGGAAACACCUUCACAGACAGACCCAGAAUAUAGUUGAACCAAAUACUGGGCACCUCAUGGCUCCAACAGGUUGACACAAAAAAUGAACCAUUGCAGAAAACGAAGAACAGUCACCAACUCCCACCCAUGCAGCUGGCUCAUUUGCUGGGCUGCCCUCCCCAGCAGGUGGCACAGGAAUCCCUGCCUUGGCAGGGAGGAGGCCUGGGGUGUGUGCAGGUACCCAUGGGAAGUUUCUUUGCCAUGGGGAAAGCCAGAGUCACCCCUUGCUUGAACACAAGAGUUGGAGGUUUCAGUGAGCUGAGAUUACGCUAUUGCACUCCAGCCUGGGCGGCAGAGUGAGACUCUGUCUCUAGAUAAAUAAAUUAAAUAAAUAAAUAAAUAUAAUUUAAUAUAAAUAACUAGAAAUUUUUCAAUACUUGCAUCUCUGUAGGUUACCUCUGGAAGUGCAGGGCUUUGUCUUUUUGGAUUAACUCAGAAAUUAGACCUUCAGAAAACAACAUCAGCUCUGAUUCUCUGCACCCUUGAUGCUGCCGGUGGCGACUGCGGCUUCCUGAUGGAAAUGUAGACCUGAACAUAAGUCGCAGAAAAAUGCAGACUUGAGUUGGAGCUAAGCUGACUCAGCCUCGCGGUGACCGCAGCCCUGGCUGACACCUUGCUUGCAGCCUGGUGAGAGACAGCAGCCCGAGGACCCUGCUAAGCUGCACCCAGGCUCCUGACCCAUGGAAACUGUGAGAUGAUAAACAUGUACUGCUUAAGCUGAGAUUCGGGCUAAUUUGUUACACAGUCAUAGACAUCGUUUUUUGUUGUUGUUGUUUUUUGAGAUGGAGUCUCACUCUGUCGCCCAGGCUGGAGUGCAGUGGCACAAUCUCAGCUCACUGCAACAUCCACCUCCCAGGUUCAAGCGAUUCUCGUGCCUCAGCCUCCCAAGUAGCUGGGAUUACAGGCAUCUGCCACCAUGCCCGGCUAAUUUUUUUGUAUCUUUAGGAGAGACAGGGUUUCACCAUGUUGGCCAGCUGGUCUCAAACUCCUGAGCUCAAGAGAUCUGCCCACCUUGGCCUCCCAAAGUGCUGGGAUUACAGGCAUGAGCCACUGUGCCCGGCCUGUUACACAGUCAUAGACAUCUAUAAAAUACUCAACACGGUGCCGGCGCAUGGCAAGCAUCAGUUACUGACCACGGUGACCCUUCUGUGUACACCAGGGGAACUCAAAAUACUCAGGAAAUCUAAGCAUAUAAGCCUAGUCACCAGGCUGUCGACAUGACCCUUAACAAUGAACCUGUGUCUUUUGCCACCUCAUGAUGUCAUAGAAGAAGAGCAGCAUCAAUGUUAAGAGUCUGGAGGAGGGACUAGAUGCUGUGGCUCACACCUGUAAUCCCAGCACUUUGGGAGGCCGAGGCAGGUGGAUCACCU